UGGAACAGAAACCAAACUUUUCCUUGAUGGU
Molecule: non-coding RNA, 31 nt
Filed under: Rattus norvegicus (Norway rat)
Lineage: Eukaryota; Metazoa; Chordata; Mammalia; Rodentia; Muridae
Source: RNAcentral